GUGGAAAUAAAUUGACGUGUCUCACGUGUAAGAAAUGACAUCCUGGGAGGUAGAACCAAACCAUGGUAUGCAGUUGGUCAGUCUUUCCCUGGACUCAAGCCCAGGAUUCAUUGGGGUUGAGCCUCCAUAUGAACCCAACACAGUUCUAUCUCCAAGAGCCAGGGAAACCUGUUGCUACUGAAGUAAAAGUCUGUUAUUGGCUGCUUAAAAAUAUUCUGAAAUCUGUUCUUUCUCCUUUAUGAAUUUACCUUUGAAUCUGCCUAAGUGUAGGGAUCAAUGAGCGUAUAUUGAAAAGUGUAUCAUUUUCUAAAUUUAUGAUUUUAUGGAAUACUACAAAAAAGGUAGUAACAACCAAAUGAAAAAGUUAAGAUCAAGUUUACAGUGUAUAUGUAUUAAAAUAUGCUGCAUAUUAAGCUUUCAGGACCCUAGAACAUAACUUAUUUUAUUGAUAAAAUAAUUACCUUCUGCCACAAUUAUCCUCUGUCUUAACGUUUUUCAGGAUUGUGGAAAAAUAUAUUUCAGUAUGUUAGAGAAUAAACAACAAAUGUGUGUUGAGGUACAUGUAUAUGAAUUUCCUUCCAGAUUGAUUAAUCUCUUUGACAGAGAUGCUACUCAACAGUGUUCCAUUGCAUUGUAUUAAUUUAUUGUGCACUCACUGAAGCCACACUAAAUUAUUUCUAAUAUCAUAGAUACGUGUGUAAAGUAAUAUAGUAUGCAGGUUGCAUAAUAUCCAACUUCGAUAAAUCUGUGAACCAGUAACUUGUAAUGAGUCAAUUUGAGGACGAUAUUAAGAUUAACAUAAGCAUUGAUUCUGAAUAAUUUUCUUUUUUUAAAAAAUUGAAGUGUAAUUGAUUUUACAAGAUUAUGUUAU
This 871-nucleotide long non-coding RNA is filed under the name Bos taurus (domestic cattle). Its description in RNAcentral is "long non-coding RNA NONBTAT023889". Lineage: Eukaryota; Metazoa; Chordata; Mammalia; Artiodactyla; Bovidae. The record is from RNAcentral.